AUUAAUAAGCGGAGGAAAAGAAAAUAACAAUGAUUCCCUUAGUAACGGCGAGUGAAGCGGGAAAAGCCCAGCGCUGAAUCCUCCAUCUUUCACUAGGUGGAUGAACUGUAGCGUUUGGAACACGUCCGUUCCGUCAGCCGACACGACUAAAGUUCUCCUGACCGGGGCUUUACCCAGAGAGGGUGCAAGGCCUGUUUAAGUCGUCGUUGGCAGACGGUUGGGCUGUUCUUAGAGUCGGUAUGUUUGAGAUUGCAUACCAAAGUGGGAGGAAAACUUCUCCUAAGGCUAAAUACUAACACGAGACCGAUAG
RNAcentral lists this ribosomal RNA (310 nucleotides) under Pista cristata. RNAcentral's name for it is "eukaryotic LSU rRNA". It matches the Rfam family "Eukaryotic large subunit ribosomal RNA", at positions 42 to 340 of the family's 3401-position model. The record is from RNAcentral. Lineage: Eukaryota; Metazoa; Annelida; Polychaeta; Terebellida; Terebellidae.